GGUUGUUCAGGCACAACGUUUUUCGUAAACGGCAAAUCUAUGCUGCCGACUGCCGCAAGGUGGUGAAAGGUUCGGUCAAAGUUUGGAUCACUACUUGCUGGAGCUCCUUGCAUGUGAACACUGCCUGUAGAUGCCAGAGACAAAUGCCCCGUCACAUCAAGACUCAUGUCAGCGGUUUGGCUCUUCAAAUGUGUGAAGUCUUCAUUACCUUCAUCGAGGGCCGACCUGGUACUGCUGCAUCUCCGGUAUUCACUUGCAUUUAAUUUAGGUGACGGACGGGCGGACAGACGGACUAGCGGAAUUUUCGUAACGACUUUCCAAAUAAGGUUAUGCGGAAUAAAAGCGUAAAGUCUUCGCAAAUAAAGACCAUCUUUCAAGACAUGAAAAACUCGCACAAAUUGUCUUUCAUUUGGCCAGGGGACAUGUGCAUCACCAGGCGUUAAAUAAACUGGUUGCUUUCCGGCGACACCAUAA
Rhipicephalus sanguineus (brown dog tick) is the source of this 474-nucleotide long non-coding RNA. RefSeq lists it as uncharacterized. The transcript has 3 exons. Lineage: Eukaryota; Metazoa; Arthropoda; Arachnida; Ixodida; Ixodidae. The record is from RefSeq and is a predicted model, not a curated record.